UACGGAGGAUGCGAGCGUUAUCCGGAUUUAUUGGGUUUAAAGGGUGCGUAGGCGGCCUGUUAAGUCAGGGGUGAAAGACGGUAGCUCAACUAUCGCAGUGCCCUUGAUACUGAUGGGCUUGAAUGUACUAGAGGUAGGCGGAAUGUGACAAGUAGCGGUGAAAUGCAUAGAUAUGACAUAGAACACCAAUUGCGAAGGCAGCUCGCUACACUAUUAUUGACACUGAGGCACGAAAGCGUGGGGAUCAAACAGG
RNAcentral lists this ribosomal RNA (253 nucleotides) under uncultured prokaryote. RNAcentral describes it as "partial 16S ribosomal RNA". It matches the Rfam family "Bacterial small subunit ribosomal RNA", at positions 524 to 776 of the family's 1533-position model. The record is from RNAcentral.